CCCUCGCCUCAUCCCACUCCCACUCCAGCCGCCAGACAAAACCUAGCCCCCUUGCCCAAUGCCCCCCGAUCCCCACAGCCGUCGCACGACUUCGCUCCUCCUUCCCUCCCACCGUACCCUCUCCUUGCUUGCAUCCGCCUCCUUUCCACCUCCGCCCGAGCUCCGCCUUCCUCGCCCGCCUCCUCCUCCUUGCCAUCGGUGGAAUCAGUGAGCAUAGGGGCAACAGCAAUGGCUGGAUGCGAUGAGCUUGCCUCCGGUGGCGCCAGGAACCUGCAAGCAAAGGGCGACCCCAUGGAUCCAUCCCUGCAGGGAGAGAAGAUGCGGAUGGAGGAUUGAAGGAUAGGGGGAGGUAGGCGAGCUGGCGGGGUGGUCUCGCCGGCGAUGACAGGGCUGACCGGCCGGAGUUGGAUCGAGAUCCCGGCUCGGCUUGGCUCCAACUCCCUCUUUCACCUCUCCGCUCCCCGGCACUCAAAUCUGGCUCUUCUGCACACAUAAGUAGCUAUGGAAAGAAAGCUUGUAGUGGAGUGGGUUCCUUUGUAUGAUCUUGGAAGAUGAUGACCUCUGAACCUCAUUAGAAAGCAUGGCAACGGCUUAAGGUUAGCGCAUUUCGAGAAGCCAACAGAUCACCGCCUACUUCCUUAGGCUGACAAUCACCUGCGGGAUAAAGUGUGAUGUUUUGCCUGAGGGGUUGGAGCAGGACAGCAGGAGGAGACAAGAUCAAGGACUGGGCCAAUGUGGUCGUCGCGCACGAACCAGUGUAGCCCAUUGGCGCUGGGAAAGUUGUAUCAGCGGCUCAGGCACAUGAAAUACCUCAGUACACUGUCAGUUGCUCCAUUGAUAGCGUUAGUUGGCUUUGCACUGUAUGAGCUGGUUUUCCGUCGGUAAGGCCUGCGCAUUGUGUUUCUGCUCAAUACUUGUUUAAUCAUGCAUACUUAUGUUUGAACAACAAAUACACAUCCUGGUGAUAUUUGCUACACAAUUCCUAUGCACUCAAUAUUUUUAACCUUUUGUUACCCAACAUAAAUAUGUGCUCCAGGUGCAUUUUUGUGCCCAUCCGCUUUCAUUUUUACACUCCUGAUGAACAUGUCGAUGUGAUGAGGGGUGUUAACAGUCUUGCUCUGUAGUAGUGUGAAGAUCUGGAGGAUGCAGGCCAUGGCCUCCUCCAGUCUGCCUUGGCAUGUGUUACAUUGCUUAUAUAUAUGGAUGGGUAACCACUUGACAGUUUGUCCGUGCUACUCGCCAUUUCCUCUCGAAGCAUAUGCUUGCAGCAUAAUGAUUAAUUUUCUCUGAAAUAAAUGCCAUACAUUUUUAUUAUCUAUUUGUUCUUGUUUUUUUGUGUUCUUCAUUAAACCUAAUCCUUACCUGGUAUUGUUUUCUGAACUAUGUUAUCGUAGUAUUUUUUUUAAUAGAACACUGUAUCAUGUCAUAGGUUGGUCACGACGAACAUUGCUUCUUUGGAUUAGCUUGCAUAGGUUGGUUGGUGAUGAUGCUCUCCUGUGGACCGGCAGCCGUGGUUUGAUUUAGAUGUAAAAUUCACUAGCCUCUGUUGUUUAUCAGUUCCGUGCUGAUAGGGAAUUUGGGGCGAAGAUAGAAAGGGAAUGCUAAUAUUGAUCGGGAAUUUAUGCCUGUUACAUUUUAGUUAUAAAUCAAUCUUCCUGGUGAUUGGUUUGGCAAUAACUACACACUUUAAAAUUUUCAUCUUUUGGGUCUGCAUAGAUGAUUUCCCCUGAGGAUUGUAGUAAUGUUUAAACAAGUACUAAAAAUACUACUGGAGGUUGGGCUGCGCCAAUGACGCGUCUCCUGAGCCAGAUCAUUUCCUUCCUUUAAUUUUUAAUCAUGGUCUAGCGGUUUCAAGAACCAUUUAUCAAACAUUUAAGGAUAUUGAACAUAGUAUGUGACUAUGAAAAAAAGGUUGUCCUUUCUUUCAGGUUGUCCACGGGAGCUAUGGCAAAAAGGCAACUUGCUUGAACUGAAUCAGCCAUUAGCUUCUUAUUAUGUACAUAUCUGAAAAAACUGUAGGUCUACCUCUCUGUAGAAAUACACAAGCAUUCUAACCUAUAAGGUGGUUGGGCGACCCGCCCACCCAAGCGCUCCUUCGAUUUUUCUUAGUUUUGAGCCUUUGAUCGGGCCUGGUCGCGUCAACGCUGGUGUGCCAGCCGUUUGAUUUUUACAUAUUUUUUGACCCAUGAUUGUUUCAAGCAAUAGUGUUGUCAAUAUAUUAAUUACUAGAUUAUGUUACUAUUGUAUAUUAGAAGAACUUCAUGAUAUAUGUAUUUAUAGGAUUCUCUGAUAUUUGAUGCAAAAUAUUGAUGGCCAGGUGAAUACAGUGGACUCUUCAAGAUUGAGGGCAAACUGCAUAUGCCGAGGGUGUCCAUCGACAACCUGCCCAAUGUCCAUAUUCACCGAGGAGUACAACCAGAGACACUGUUGACUGCGUGUAGGCGCCAAGCCCUCCGACGCCCAGCCGUCCGCUAUGGUCUCUGCCCGAAGAAGGAUUAUGGUUCUCCACCUCUCUGCUACUCAUAUUAGAAUUCUGGCUUUUGAUAUACUUCAAACGAGAUUCUUUAUAUGUUGUUCGAUUCCUCUUGCUAUCACCACAAGGGGAAAUUGCUUACGGUGGCAAUAUGCUCUUCUAUGUUGUCUGAUUGACUCUUUUUAUUAGCAUGGAGAAAAACUUUUAGUUCACUAAGAUUAGUUUAUGUUCACAUUGCUCUGUAUAUAAAAAAGGAUUGUUGUGCUGAAAAGGUGUAUGACAUUCUGGCAAAACAUUGUUUAGUAAGAAAGUAUGUAGAGGUGAAAUGUUGUGGAUGUUCUGACAGGGAGAUACUUGGACUAACUUUACCGUCACACCUUAUUCAAUAUUCUGGGUAUUGGGUUAUGUUGUUUUCCUCCCAAUGUCAUGUGAUAUCUACUGGACUAUAAAUCACAUGCUUGAGAGAGCGAGCAUGCUUCUUUCCAUGGUUUAUUUUAUCUCUGUUUGUACCCAUGCAACUCUUAAUGAAACAUUGCAUUUAUGUUGUGUUUAACAUGCUCACAAAAUUGAAUAGAAACCCUUGUGAUGUGGAAUUCAUAUUAAAUCUAUGGACUAGCUCAUUCAGGUAUCACAGGGAAAAACAAUAUUUGUUUUCAGGAUUCAGUUUUGGUUCUUUUGGUAAAAAUAGUGAGACAGUGAUCUUAAUGAAACAUUGCAUAAGUCGCUGGUAUAAUCUGCAACUGGCAAAUAAAUUUGUAUAACUAUCUAUUU
Molecule: long non-coding RNA, 3244 nt
Organism: Triticum dicoccoides
Lineage: Eukaryota; Viridiplantae; Streptophyta; Magnoliopsida; Poales; Poaceae
Exons: 7
Source: RefSeq, a predicted model, not a curated record